Athene cunicularia (burrowing owl) is the source of this 1631-nucleotide long non-coding RNA. RefSeq lists it as uncharacterized. The transcript has 2 exons. Lineage: Eukaryota; Metazoa; Chordata; Aves; Strigiformes; Strigidae. The record is from RefSeq and is a predicted model, not a curated record.
GGCUGUGUUCAAAAUUAAAACAAAAUAUUUUUUAUCUGUACCUUAAAAUAUUUUUCAAUGCCUUCUCUUUUUUUCUACUGACUGUAGCUGUCAGUGUUUUUUUGAUCUUGAUGUACAACGGGAUGAGAAUUGCUGUCCGUUUUUUGUUACAGUUAAACUUUUUCUCUGAGAGCCUGUAGCAGUAAAUACUUGUCAGGCAAUAUGCCUGAUGGACAGUGUGCCUCUGGAGAUUAAAAUACUUAUAAGAGCUUAAGAUAGUAGGUCAAAUUUGUAAACUCUUCCUUGCAUCAUGCUCAUUUGUCUUGAUGUCAUAUGGAUAACUGUGGAGACCCUUGGGUUUCAUAUUUCUUAACAAGUGGCCCAUACAUCAUGUGUUCAAAUUAAAACCAUGGCUUCCCUGUCUGACAUGUCUUGGGGCAGUGUUUCUGUCCGAAUGUUCAGUGUCAUGUGUUGAAUUUGGAUUUGACCACCUGUGACCUGGUUCUUCAGUGGCAUCCUUCACAGGUAUUCACUACCAGGGUUCAGCAAUAGAAAGAGCAAUGCCUUUGCUUUCCGAGUCUUACGCAGCUGAGGCAGUGCCCGAAGUGUGAGGUAUUAUAAGCUUUCUGAAGGCUGCUGCUGUUAGGAGGGUCUGCUUAUGAACAAAUCUUUUCUGGAUACAGUAAUUUGGGAAACUAGGGUAUGUCUCUUGUGCAAGAGCUUUCCAAACAAAAUAUCUUGUGUGAGACCAACUUCCCUGUGGUUUCUUCUAAAAAUCUACAUCCCUGUAACAAAGCAGAUUGUCACCUCAGGUAUUUUUUUAACCGCAUCAGGCUAUUUGGGGAGCUGUCAAAUGUGCUUUGCUGAGUCAGCUUAUAACUGGAAUGUGAAGGAUCCUUCACAACCUUUGCCUCCCAAGGUCACACUGGUGCUGAAACUAGGUUCUCAUCAGCAUGGGUUUUCUUAAAUUAUGAAUGUUAAACCUUGAAGAAUGCAAGUCUUUUUUUUUCUUUUUUUUUUUUUUCAGAAAUCUGUGAGAGGAAAGGACAUGACAGUCUAGGGUCAAGUAACAUCUGCAGGCAUAUGUAUCUGCUUGAAUCCAUCAAAUAGACCAAUGAGCAUAGCUGGGUAUGGAUUGGAUUCACAAAAGGCAUCAUUCACGGCACCUUUAUCUCAGAUGCCCUAGUUGCCAUGGGAAAAUAAGGGUUACAACAUCUAUAGACAGACAGAUGUCCAAGACUGAGUUGAAGUGAGUGUCUGGUGGGAAAAUGUGACUAAAUCUAAAACAGAAUGUACCCAGUUACUUUAAAAAAAAGUUACUGGAAUGCAACUGCUGAAGGCAAAGAACAAGGUGUAACCAUAGAGUAAUCUGGAAGCACAGCAAAUGAUUCUGAUCUUCGAAGUUCCUGUGACAAGAAUAUGAUUUCUGAUCUUGCCUGAAAAUUUAUGACCUACUUAAGUUUGUUUUUUAUAGAAGUUCAGUAUUUGUGUUACCCAGGGUUGUUCCCUAUAACUAAACUAACUAGCUGUGCAACUAUGAUGAGUUAGCAACAGAGAGGGCAACAACACAAAGGCCUUCAGGAAGGCCUGCAGUAUCAAUCUUAAAAUCAAGCUAGUCCCAUGAGGGUUUUGUAUUGACCUAGUUAAAAAAA